AUGCUCUUGUAUAACCUUAGAUUUAAUAAGAAACACAAUGAGACUAUUAUUUUGCCUGCGCCUUUGUUGUUUGAUUUGAUUGCAGAUAAUUUUCUUGUUACACCGGAGGCGGUGUACGCUCAUCGAGGCCAAGCAUCCACUCAAGAACCUGAACCUGAGCCGGAACCUGCACUAGACCCUUAUCGAGCAUCAUCUUUCCAGUGGGAUCCGAAGAUGGCCAGCCAGUGGUAUCCUGAUUACACCUCCCAGUACACCGGGGAGAGUAGCAGCGGUCCUUGGUACUGGACCAACUUAGGCCAAAAGCCUAAGCAUGGGGGAGUACGUAUUUCUCACCGACUUUACAUUCAUGUUCACACACUAGUCGUCUGUGCUCAUACUCUUUCAUUGUAUUAUCCAUGUUAG
RNAcentral lists this ribosomal RNA (402 nucleotides) under Triticum aestivum (bread wheat). RNAcentral describes it as "partial small subunit ribosomal RNA". Lineage: Eukaryota; Viridiplantae; Streptophyta; Magnoliopsida; Poales; Poaceae. The record is from RNAcentral.